Molecule: ribosomal RNA, 264 nt
Filed under: uncultured bacterium
Lineage: Bacteria
Description: partial 16S ribosomal RNA
Rfam family: Bacterial small subunit ribosomal RNA
Source: RNAcentral
GUCCACGCCGUAAACGAUGGGUGCUAGGUGUGGGUGGUGUCGACUCCAUCCGUGCCGAAGCUAACGCAUUAAGCACCCCGCCUGGGGAGUACGGCCGCAAGGCUAAAACUCAAAGGAAUUGACGGGGGCCCCGCACAAGCAGCGGAGCAUGUGGUUUAAUUCGACGCGACGCGAAGAACCUUACCAGGGCUUGACAUGCACGGGAAAACCGUAGAAAUACGGUCCUCCUUCGGGACUCGUGCACAGGUGGUGCAUGGCUGUCGU